This 464-nucleotide ribosomal RNA is filed under the name uncultured bacterium. RNAcentral's name for it is "partial 16S ribosomal RNA". It matches the Rfam family "Bacterial small subunit ribosomal RNA", at positions 338 to 795 of the family's 1533-position model. The record is from RNAcentral.
CCUACGGGGGGCAGCAGUGGGGAAUCUUCCGCAAUGGGCGAAAGCCUGACGGAGCAACGCCGUGUGAUCGAAUGAAGGCCUUCGGGUUGUAAAGUUCUGUUGACAGGGACGAAUAAGCAAUGCGAAUAGUUUUGUGUAUGACGGUACCUGUUUAGAAAGCUCCGGCUAACUACGUGCCAGCAGCCGCGGUAAUACGUAGGGAGCAUGCGUUGUCCGGAAUUACUGGGCGUAAAGGGCGCGUAGGUGGGCGCUUAAGUCAGGUGUGAAAGCUCCGGGCUCAACCUGGGGACUGCAGUUGAAACUGGGUGUCUAGAGUGCAGAAGAGGAAGGUGGAAUGCAUGGUGUAGCGGUGAAAUGCGUAGAUAUUAGGAGGAACACCGGUGGCGAAGGCGACUUUCUGGACUGUACCUGACGCUGAGGCGCGAAAGCGUGGGUAGCGAACGGGAUUAGAUACCCGAGUAGUC